Molecule: ribosomal RNA, 694 nt
Filed under: uncultured Bacteroidales bacterium
Lineage: Bacteria; Pseudomonadati; Bacteroidota; Bacteroidia; Bacteroidales
Description: bacterial SSU rRNA
Rfam family: Bacterial small subunit ribosomal RNA
Source: RNAcentral
AACGCUAGCUACAGGCUUAACACAUGCAAGUCGCGGGGCAGCAUUUUCCUAGCUUGCUAGGGAAGAUGGCGACCGGCGCACGGGUGAGUAACGCGUAUCCAACCUUCCCAUGUCCACGGGAUAGCCCGUCGAAAGGCGGAUUAAUACCGUAUGAGGUCACAUGCGGGCAUCUAAUUGUGACGAAAGGUUUAGCGGACAUGGAUGGGGAUGCGUCCGAUUAGCUAGUUGGCGGGGUAACGGCCCACCAAGGCGACGAUCGGUAGGGGUUCUGAGAGGAAGGUCCCCCACAUUGGAACUGAGACACGGUCCAAACUCCUACGGGAGGCAGCAGUGAGGAAUAUUGGUCAAUGGACGCAAGUCUGAACCAGCCAAGUAGCGUGCAGGAUGACGGCCCUAUGGGUUGUAAACUGCUUUUAUGCGGGGAUAAAGUGUGGGACGUGUCCCAUAUUGCAGGUACCGCAUGAAUAAGGACCGGCUAAUUCCGUGCCAGCAGCCGCGGUAAUACGGAAGGUCCGGGCGUUAUCCGGAUUUAUUGGGUUUAAAGGGAGCGUAGGCCGGUCAUUAAGUCAGUUGUGAAAGUUUGCGGCUCAACCGUAAAAUUGCGGUUGAUACUGGUGACCUUGAGUGCGGCAGAGGCAGGCGGAAUUCGUGGUGUAGCGGUGAAAUGCUUAGAUAUCACGAAGAACUCCGAUUG